GAUGAACGCUGGCGGCGUGCCUAAUACAUGCAAGUCGAGCGAACGGACGAGAAGCUUGCUUUUCUGAUGUUAGCGGCGGACGGGUGAGUAACACGUGGAUAACCUACCUAUAAGACUGGGAUAACUUCGGGAAACCGGAGCUAAUACCGGAUAAUAUUUUGAACCGCAUGGUUCAAAAGUGAAAGACGGUCUUGCUGUCACUUAUAGAUGGAUCCGCGCUGCAUUAGCUAGUUGGUAAGGUAACGGCUUACCAAGGCAACGAUGCAUAGCCGACCUGAGAGGGUGAUCGGCCACACUGGAACUGAGACACGGUCCAGACUCCUACGGGAGGCAGCAGUAGGGAAUCUUCCGCAAUGGGCGAAAGCCUGACGGGGCAACGCCGCGUGAGUGAUGAAGGUCUUCGGAUCGUAAAACUCUGUUAUUAGGGAAGAACAUAUGUGUAAGUAACUGUGCACAUCUUGACGGUACCUAAUCAGAAAGCCACGGCUAACUACGUGCCAGCAGCCGCGGUAAUACGUAGGUGGCAAGCGUUAUCCGGAAUUAUUGGGCGUAAAGCGCGCGUAGGCGGUUUUUUAAGUCUGAUGUGAAAGCCCACGGCUCAACCGUGGAGGGUCAUUGGAAACUGGAAAACUUGAGUGCAGAAGAGGAAAGUGGAAUUCCAUGUGUAGCGGUGAAAUGCGCAGAGAUAUGGAGGAACACCAGUGGCGAAGGCGACUUUCUGGUCUGUAACUGACGCUGAUGUGCGAAAGCGUGGGGAUCAAACAGGAUUAGAUACCCUGGUAGUCCACGCCGUAAACGAUGAGUGCUAAGUGUUAGGGGGUUUCCGCCCCUUAGUGCUGCAGCUAACGCAUUAAGCACUCCGCCUGGGGAGUACGACCGCAAGGUUGAAACUCAAAGGAAUUGACGGGGACCCGCACAAGCGGUGGAGCAUGUGGUUUAAUUCGAAGCAACGCGAAGAACCUUACCAAAUCUUGACAUCCUUUGACAACUCUAGAGAUAGAGCCUUCCCCUUCGGGGGACAAAGUGACAGGUGGUGCAUGGUUGUCGUCAGCUCGUGUCGUGAGAUGUUGGGUUAAGUCCCGCAACGAGCGCAACCCUUAAGCUUAGUUGCCAUCAUUAAGUUGGGCACUCUAAGUUGACUGCCGGUGACAAACCGGAGGAAGGUGGGGAUGACGUCAAAUCAUCAUGCCCCUUAUGAUUUGGGCUACACACGUGCUACAAUGGACAAUGCAAAGGGCAGCGAAACCGCGAGGUCAAGCAAAUCCCAUAAAGUUGUUCUCAGUUCGGAUUGUAGUCUGCAACUCGACUACAUGAAGCUGGAAUCGCUAGUAAUCGUAGAUCAGCAUGCUACGGUGAAUACGUUCCCGGGUCU
RNAcentral lists this ribosomal RNA (1372 nucleotides) under uncultured bacterium. Its description in RNAcentral is "bacterial SSU rRNA". It matches the Rfam family "Bacterial small subunit ribosomal RNA", at positions 28 to 1381 of the family's 1533-position model. The record is from RNAcentral.